RNAcentral lists this ribosomal RNA (2854 nucleotides) under Phalaenopsis aphrodite. Its description in RNAcentral is "eukaryotic LSU rRNA". It matches the Rfam family "Eukaryotic large subunit ribosomal RNA". Lineage: Eukaryota; Viridiplantae; Streptophyta; Magnoliopsida; Asparagales; Orchidaceae. The record is from RNAcentral.
UUAAUUGUGAUGUUUUGCCUUAAGCUUAGCGAACAUCCUGAUGUUUUAAUUAUCUUAUGUGUGGGGUAACUAUUCAUUCACUUGACAUUUAAAUUUGAUCAUUAUGGGGUUGGACACCCUUAAAGGCAACCUAAGUCACUAAGGAGUCCUUACCCCCACCCCCCCCUCCCGCACGAGUUGAGCUUGUAGUGCUUUCAAAUCGGAUGGUUAACUAUGUUAUUCUCUUCUAAACCUCAAUGAAUGAUUUUUUAGAUCAAUCCUAGCUCACUACCAAGCUCUUAAAUUUUUCAAGGGUGGAUUUGUAAUUUUUUAGGAAUUUCAUGUGAUGUGCAGAUUCUCAUCAAAGGAAUUAAAUUAUCACUCAACCAUUAGUUUGAGGCUUCUAAUUAGUGGAUUAAUUUCUUCCCAACACAAGCCCCUCACAUUAGGAGUUUCCAAACUUAGUUGUCUUCCAAUACUCAAUAAUUUGGAUAAUUGUAAUUGUAUCCCUUAAUAGAAGGGGGUAUGAGUUGGUUUAUACUACUUUAUUCCUUAUGUCUCAAUCAUCCUAAGAAGUUAAUCAUAAUCAGAACUACCCACUUCUGUCUUGGUUUAGUCGUAAAUAUAAAUUGUGGUCACGGAUUCCCAAAAUUAUCGCUUUUCCCAUAGGGCCUCCUCCUUCAUAAUUCUUUAAAUUUAACUCAAAUGACUUUGAAAAUUUACUAUUACCCCACUCAUGGGUCAAAUGAAAACAUUAAAGGAUAAUUUGUGAUUUUUCUUAAUUUUAUUUAAUUUAUAUAAUUAUUUCAAGACAGAUCUCCUCCAUUGUAUCUUACUAGCUCAACAAGGCAAACACAGCACGCGUUGAUUACACCCAUUGUAUCAACUAGCCUCAAAAAUGGAUGGCGCUUAAACGCGCAACUUACACCUAGCCAUCAGGGCAAUGGCUAAGCUAGGAUGAGUAGGAGGGCGUGGCGACCACCAUAAAACCUGGGGUGCGAGCUCAUGUGGAGCAGCCUUCGGUGUAGCAAAUAUUCAAAUGAGAGCUUUGAAGGCCGAUGGGGGGAAAGGUUUCAUGUGAACGAAACUUGCACAUGGGUUAGCCAAUCCUAAGAGACUGGGGAGACCCGUCAGAGAGCGCUACUUCACGCGAGCUUUGAAAGGGAGUAAGGUUAAAAUUCCCGAGCUGAGAUGUGGCGGCUGACGAAAAUGUUAGGUAGUUUGGAGACGUCGGCGGGGGCUUUGGGAAGAUUUAUCUUUUCUGCUUAAUAGCCUGCGAGCCCUAGAAAAGGAUUAGCCGGAGGUAGGGGCCAGUGGCUAGAAGAGCGCCGCGCGUUUAGUGGUAUCUAAUGCUCUCCCGGUGGCCCCUGAAAAUUUGGAGGGCCGAGUUUCGUCCACGCCCGAUCAUACUCAUAAGCGCAUCAGGUCUCCAAGGUGAACAACCUCUCGUUGAUGGAGCAAUGUAGGUAAGGAAAGUUGGCAAAAUGGAUCCAUAACUUUGGGAAAAGGAUUGGCUCUAAGGGUUGGGCAUGGGGGUCCCAGUCUUAAAUCCAUCGGUUGUAGGCAGACUGCUUGAACUGUACCCGUGGAAAGAACGGAUCUCCACGUGCGGGCUGGGGAACGGACUAGGAACGGCCCCCAUGGGGGCCUUCCUUUGGCGUCGAACAACUGACUUAGAACUGGUACAGUCAAGGGUAAUCAGACAGUUUAAUUACAAUAAAGCAUUGUGACCGUCCCAGUGGAUGCUCAUGUAAUGUGAUUUCUGCCAGUACUAUGAAUGUAAAAGUGAAAAAAUUUAACCAAGUGCGGGUAAACAGCGAGAGUAACUAUGACUCUCUUAAGGUGGUCAAUUUCCUCGUCAUCUAAUUAGUGGCGCGCAUCAAUGGAUUAAUGAGAUUCCCACUGUCCCUGUAUACUAUCUAGUGAAACCACAGCCAAUGGAAUGGGCUUGGCAGAAUUAGUGGGGAAAGAAGACCCUGUUGAGCUUGGAUCUAGUCCAACUUUGCGAAAUGACUUGAGAGGUACAGUAUAAGUGGGACUCAGCUCACCGGCAGAAGUGAAAUACCACUACUUUUAACAUUAUUUUACUUAUUCUAUGAGACAAAGGUGGGGCAUGACCCCUUCUUUUAGCUUUUAAGUCUCGCCCCAGUGGGUAGAUCUGGGUAAAAGACAUUAUCGGGUGGGGAGUUUGGCUGGAGCGGCACAUCUGUUAAAAGAUAAUGCAUGUGCCUGAGAUGAGCUCAAUGAGAACAGAAAUCUCGUGUGGAACAAAUAGGUAAAAGCUUUUUUGCUUCUGAUUUUCAGUGUGAAUAUGAACCGUGAAAGUGUGGCCUAUUGAUCCUUUAGUCAUUCAAAUUUUGAAUCUAGAGGUGUCAGAAAAGUUACCACAAGGAUAACUGGCUUGUGGCAGCCAAGUGUUCAUAGCGACGUUGCUUUUUGACCUAUUGAUGUCAGCUCUUCCUAUCAUUGUGAUGCAGAAUUCACAAUGUGUUGGAUUGUUCACCCACCAAUAAGGAACUUGAGCUGGGUUUAGACCGUCGUAAGACAGGUUAGUUUUACCCUACUGAUGAUCGUGCCACGAUAGUAACUCAACAUAGUACGAGAGGAACCAUUGAUUCACAUAAUUGGCCAUCUUGCUUGGUUGAAAAGCCAGUGGUGCGAAGCUACCGUGUGAAGGAACAUGACUGAACUCCUCUAGGUCAGAAUCCACGCUAAAAAUGUGGCCCAUGAGCCCAUCAUUCGCCCGCCGACCGUUAGUAAGGGCCUCGGCCCCCAAGGGCACGUGACAUGGGUUGUGUUGUGUCGGUCAUGUAGAUGGCUUACAUGGAUGCCCUGAAUUGCAGUUUCAAACUGGUGAUGGGCAGAAUCCUUUUCC